UGGGGAAUAUUGCACAAUGGAGGAAACUCUGAUGCAGCGAUGCCGCGUGAGGGAAGAAGGUUUUCGGAUUGUAAACCUCUGUUGACAGGGACGAUAAUGACGGUACUUGUUUAGAAAGCUCCGGCUAACUACGUGCCAGCAGCCGCGGUAAUACGUAGGGAGCGAGCGUUGUCCGGAAUUACUGGGUGUAAAGGGAGUGCAGGCGGGACUGCAAGUCAGAUGUGAAAUGUAGGGGCUCAACCCCUGAGCUGCAUUUGAAACUGUAGUUCUUGAGUGAAGUAGAGGUAAGCGGAAUUCCUAGUGUAGCGGUGAAAUGCGUAGAUAUUAGGAGGAACAUCAGUGGCGAAGGCGGCUUACUGGGCUUUAACUGACGCUGAGGCUCGAAAGCGUGGGGAGCAAACAGG
This 404-nucleotide ribosomal RNA is filed under the name uncultured bacterium. RNAcentral's name for it is "bacterial SSU rRNA". It matches the Rfam family "Bacterial small subunit ribosomal RNA", at positions 355 to 776 of the family's 1533-position model. The record is from RNAcentral.